RNAcentral lists this ribosomal RNA (255 nucleotides) under uncultured bacterium. Its description in RNAcentral is "partial 16S ribosomal RNA". It matches the Rfam family "Bacterial small subunit ribosomal RNA", at positions 96 to 353 of the family's 1533-position model. The record is from RNAcentral.
UGGCGGACGGGUGAGUAAUGUCUGGGAAACUGCCUGAUGGAGGGGGAUAACUACUGGAAACGGUAGCUAAUACCGCAUAACGUCGCAAGACCAAAGAGGGGGACCCUCGGGCCUCUUGCCAUCGGAUGUGCCCAGAUGGGAUUAGCUUGUUGGUGGGGUAACGGCUCACCAGGCGACGAUCCCUAGCUGGUCUGAGAGGAUGACCAGCCACACUGGAACUGAGACACGGUCCAGACUCCUACGGGAGGCAGCAUG